UACGUAGGGACCAAGCGUUGUUCGGAUUUACUGGGCGUAAAGGGCGCGUAGGCGGCAAUUCAAGUCAGUUGUGAAAUCUCCGAGCUUAACUCGGAACGGUCAGCCGAUACUGCGGGGCUAGAGUGCAGAAGGGGCAACUGGAAUUCUCGGUGUAGCGGUGAAAUGCGUAGAUAUCGAGAGGAACACCUGCGGCGAAGGCGGGUUGCUGGGCUGACACUGACGCUGAGGCGCGAAAGCUAGGGGAGCGAACGGG
RNAcentral lists this ribosomal RNA (253 nucleotides) under uncultured bacterium. RNAcentral describes it as "partial 16S ribosomal RNA". It matches the Rfam family "Bacterial small subunit ribosomal RNA", at positions 524 to 776 of the family's 1533-position model. The record is from RNAcentral.